Molecule: transfer RNA, 72 nt
Filed under: Akkermansiaceae bacterium
Lineage: Bacteria; Pseudomonadati; Verrucomicrobiota; Verrucomicrobiia; Verrucomicrobiales; Akkermansiaceae
Description: tRNA-Val
Rfam family: tRNA
About the family: Transfer RNA (tRNA) molecules are approximately 80 nucleotides in length. Their secondary structure includes four short double-helical elements and three loops (D, anti-codon, and T loops). Further hydrogen bonds mediate the characteristic L-shaped molecular structure. tRNAs have two regions of fundamental functional importance: the anti-codon, which is responsible for specific mRNA codon recognition, and the 3' end, to which the tRNAs corresponding amino acid is attached (by aminoacyl-tRNA synthetases). tRNAs cope with the degeneracy of the genetic code in two manners: having more than one tRNA (with a specific anti-codon) for a particular amino acid; and 'wobble' base-pairing, i.e. permitting non-standard base-pairing at the 3rd anti-codon position.
Source: RNAcentral
GCUCGGUUAACUCAGUGGUAGAGUGCAUCCUUCACACGGAUGAAGUCACUGGUUCAAGUCCAGUACCGAGCA